This 1009-nucleotide long non-coding RNA is filed under the name Androctonus crassicauda. The record is from RNAcentral. Lineage: Eukaryota; Metazoa; Arthropoda; Arachnida; Scorpiones; Buthidae.
CUAAAAAAUUUUCAGAUUCAGUAAUUGAAAAGAUCCCUAGAAUUACAGAUAUACAACUUCUUGGAGAAGUUGCAACCGAAGAAUUUAUCAUUCCAAAGAAAAAAAUUAAUAUCUAAAACUACAAAACCUGAAAUUUCCGAUACGUCAAAAUCGGGUGCUAAAUUACCUAAAACUACUACAAUACCCAAAUAUUCCGCUGAUGAAUUUAUGAAGAAGCAUGCUGUAAGUAUGCAAAAACCUGAUUCGUCUCUAACCGAAUCUGAACCUGAAAUGUAUUUAUUAAAGAAAGAUUCGCCACAAUAUAUUAUUUUUUAAAAAAUAGAACAUCCGCCAUUAAAAUUCAUAUCUAAACGUUCGUUGUCCUCUUCUAAACCAAUUCCUGUAUCUAUUAUUAAGUUUUCUACCUCUAAAUUUGAAAUUAAGGAAAAAGAAAAAUCUAUAAUCGAAAAAUCGAUCAUAUCUGAUGAUGAUGAUUUAAUAUAAAAACCUGAAAUCGAUGCAGAUCAAACUGUAGAUGAUAGUAAAGAAACGGUGCGUAUAGAUGGCAAAUAUAGGCGGACAACUGAAGAUUUCACUCCUAAACCAGACUUAAUUUCAGACAAGCUUGAAGAUGGAGUUACUUUGGCAAAAUUUACAGACAUUGUAGGAAAAGAUGAGAUAAUCGUCGAAGAAAUUGAAAGUGUUUAUGAUGCUACAUCAUCAAGAAGAUCCAGAUCGGAAAGCAUCGAUAAAGAUAUGAAGUCAGUAUCACAGAAAAUUAAAUCGUAUAAAACUUUGUCUGAAGAUAUAUCUAUAAAAGAAAUAGAUGGCUCUAAAAGUACAUUUUCCGGAGAAAGUACGAGUGAAAGAUCAUCAUCUGAAGAAUCUUCCCAACAAUACGUCUAUAUUUGAAGAAUAUUCCGAAGAAUGCACAUUAUUUGAAGAAUCUAUAAAAGAAAAUAUCAAAGAAGAUAUUAAAAACUGCGAUAUAGAAAUUGAAGCAAAUUAUUCAUCUAAAGGAUUACUGAAG